RNAcentral lists this ribosomal RNA (439 nucleotides) under uncultured bacterium. RNAcentral's name for it is "partial 16S ribosomal RNA". It matches the Rfam family "Bacterial small subunit ribosomal RNA", at positions 338 to 795 of the family's 1533-position model. The record is from RNAcentral.
CCUACGGGAGGCAGCAGUGGGGAAUAUUGCACAAUGGACGAAAGCCUGAUGCAGCAACGCCGCGUGAACGAUGAAGGCCUUCGGGUCGGAAAGCUUUUUCCUCAAGGAAGUUAAUGACGGCACGUGAGGAGGAAUCCCCGGCUAAUAAGGUCCCAGCAGCCGCGGUAAUAUGUAGGGGGCUGGCGUUAUCCGGAAUUACUGGGCGUAAGGGGUGCUUAGGUGGUUUCUUAAGUCAGAGGUAAAAGGUUACGGUUAAACCGUAGUAAGUCAUUGAAACUGGGAAACUUGAGUGCAGGAGAGGAGAGUGGAAUUCGUAGUGUAGCGGUGAAAUGCGUAGAUAUUAGGAAGAACACCAGUUGCGAAGGCGGCUCUCUGGACUGUAACUGACACUGAGGCACGAAAGCGUGGGGAGCAAACAGGAUUAGAUACCCCAGUAGUC